This 285-nucleotide long non-coding RNA is filed under the name Nicotiana benthamiana. RNAcentral describes it as "long non-coding RNA (NBEN_LNC028924)". The record is from RNAcentral. Lineage: Eukaryota; Viridiplantae; Streptophyta; Magnoliopsida; Solanales; Solanaceae.
GGGAUUAGUCGGGGAUCUAAGAGACUUGGACGCCCAGUACAAAUUAAAAAAAAAAAGAUUGAUUAGGGAGAAGCAAAUUAAAAAAAAAAAGAUGAUUAGGGAGAAAACAAAUUAUCUAGCUUUUAUCAAGACGAAAACCAUGCCUUGUCUAUUCCUCCAAACGCCAUUUGCCGUAUCGUCAACCGACCAGCAAAACAAUGUGGUCAUCUCCAAUUGUUUUCUUGAUAUACAAAUGCUUAAUUAGUUCAAAGAAACUGCCGAGGUCAAAGGCGAGGCUGGUUCGGA